Molecule: transfer RNA, 62 nt
Filed under: Proasellus solanasi
Lineage: Eukaryota; Metazoa; Arthropoda; Malacostraca; Isopoda; Asellidae
Description: transfert RNA-W(TGA)
Source: RNAcentral
AGAAUCUUAAGUUAAUAAAACUAUUGACCUUCAAAGUCAAAAAUAAUUCUAAUUAGAUUUUA